This 240-nucleotide long non-coding RNA is filed under the name Elaeis guineensis (African oil palm). RNAcentral describes it as "long non-coding RNA (EGUI_LNC075232)". Lineage: Eukaryota; Viridiplantae; Streptophyta; Magnoliopsida; Arecales; Arecaceae. The record is from RNAcentral.
AAGUAUUAAAAGGAUAAGCCACAAAUAAGUGGCAUAAUAAUUAUGCUAUAAUAUAUAACACUUGUGAAAUCGCAUGGGAAUAAUAUUUGCAUGACCUGCACUUACAAGUAAGAGGUUUGGAUCACAACGGAAUGCAAUCCUUGUCACAAUGCCCUGGUGACCUUUAAAGAAAUGUGUGCAAAAGCCACACAAUCCACAUCCCAGACACAGACCCUUUUUAUCUGCCCCGGGUGCAGCAAU